UGCGUAGGCGGGUUUUUUAAGUCAGGGGUGAAAUCCUGGAGCUCAACUCCAGAACUGCCUUUGAUACUGAAGAUCUUGAGUCCGGGAGAGGUGAGUGGAACUGCGAGUGUAGAGGUGAAAUUCGUAGAUAUUCGCAAGAACACCAGUGGCGAAGGCGGCUCACUGGCCCGGUACUGACGCUGAGGCACGAAAGCGUGGGGAGCAAACA
Molecule: ribosomal RNA, 208 nt
Filed under: uncultured bacterium
Lineage: Bacteria
Description: partial 16S ribosomal RNA
Rfam family: Bacterial small subunit ribosomal RNA
Source: RNAcentral